Bacteroidia bacterium 44-10 is the source of this 60-nucleotide non-coding RNA. The record is from Rfam. Lineage: Bacteria; Pseudomonadati; Bacteroidota; Bacteroidia.
UUGAGUGUGGACAGAUUUGAACUGCUUGCAACCACAGAAAAAAAUGCUAAAACGCUUUAC